AACCACUUAAAGUCAGGAGGUCCGUGA
This 27-nucleotide small RNA is filed under the name Bombyx mori (domestic silkworm). RNAcentral describes it as "ovarian small RNA-10284". The record is from RNAcentral. Lineage: Eukaryota; Metazoa; Arthropoda; Insecta; Lepidoptera; Bombycidae.